GAUGAACGCUGGCGGCGUGCUUAACACAUGCAAGUCGAACGAAGAUGCCGGAGUGCUUGCACUUUGGCAGACUGAGUGGCGGACGGGUGAGUAACGCGUGGGUAACCUGCCUUAGUACAGGGGGAUAACAGUUGGAAACGACUGCUAAUACCGCAUAAGCGCACGGUAUCGCAUGAUACAGUGUGAAAAACUCCGGUGGUAUAAGAUGGACCCGCGUCUGAUUAGCUUGUUGGUGAGGUAACGGCCCACCAAGGCGACGAUCAGUAGCCGGCCUGAGAGGGUGAACGGCCACAUUGGGACUGAGAUACGGCCCAGACUCCUACGGGAGGCAGCAGUCGGGAAUAUUGCGCAAUGGAGGAAACUCUGACGCAGUGACGCCGCGUAUAGGAAGAAGGUUUUCGGAUUGUAAACUAUUGUCGUUAGGGAAGAUACAAGACAGUACCUAAGGAGGAAGCUCCGGCUAACUACGUG
This 471-nucleotide ribosomal RNA is filed under the name uncultured bacterium. Its description in RNAcentral is "bacterial SSU rRNA". It matches the Rfam family "Bacterial small subunit ribosomal RNA", at positions 28 to 507 of the family's 1533-position model. The record is from RNAcentral.